GACGAACGCUGGCGGCGUGCCUAAUACAUGCAAGUCGAGCGGACGGAUGGGAGCUUGCUCCCAGACCGUCAGCGGCGGACGGGUGAGUAACACGUGGGCAACCUGCCUGUAAGACUGGGAUAACUCCGGGAAACCGGGGCUAGUACCGGAUAACUCUUUCCCUCACAUGAGGGAAAGCUGAAAGAUGGCAUCUCGCUAUCACUUACAGAUGGGCCCGCGGCGCAUUAGCUAGUUGGUGAGGUAACGGCUCACCAAGCCGACGAUGCGUAGCCGACCUGAGAGGGUGAUCGGCCACACUGGGACUGAGACACGGCCCAGACUCCUACGGGAGGCAGCAGUAGGGAAUCUUCCGCAAUGGACGAAAGUCUGACGGAGCAACGCCGCGUGAGUGAUGAAGGUUUUCGGAUCGUAAAACUCUGUUGUCAGGGAAGAACAAGUACCGGAGUAACUGCCGGUACCUUGACGGUACCUGACCAGAAAGCCACGGCUAACUACGUG
Molecule: ribosomal RNA, 498 nt
Filed under: uncultured bacterium
Lineage: Bacteria
Description: partial 16S ribosomal RNA
Rfam family: Bacterial small subunit ribosomal RNA
Source: RNAcentral